CAGUCGCCGCGGGAAUACGUAGGGUGCAAGCGUUAUCCGGAAUUAUUGGGCGUAAAGAGCUCGUAGGCGGUUUGUCGCGUCUGCUGUGAAAACUGGAGGCUCAACCUCCAGCCUGCAGUGGGUACGGGCAGACUAGAGUGCGGUAGGGGAGAUUGGAAUUCCCGGUGUAGCGGUGGAAUGCGCAGAUAUCAGGAGGAACACCGAUGGCGAAGGCAGAUCUCUGGGCCGUAACUGACGCUGAGGAGCGAAAGCAUGGGGAGCGAACAGGAUUAGAUACCCGGGUAGUCCCUGUCUCUUAUAC
Molecule: ribosomal RNA, 301 nt
Filed under: uncultured bacterium
Lineage: Bacteria
Description: partial 16S ribosomal RNA
Rfam family: Bacterial small subunit ribosomal RNA
Source: RNAcentral